UACGAAGGGGGCUAGCGUUGCUCGGAAUCACUGGGCGUAAAGGGCGCGUAGGCGGCCAUUCAAGUCGGGGGUGAAAGCCUGUGGCUCAACCACAGAAUUGCCUUCGAUACUGUUUGGCUUGAGUUUGGUAGAGGUUGGUGGAACUGCGAGUGUAGAGGUGAAAUUCGUAGAUAUUCGCAAGAACACCAGUGGCGAAGGCGGCCAACUGGACCAACACUGACGCUGAGGCGCGAAAGCGUGGGGAGCAAACAGGG
This 254-nucleotide ribosomal RNA is filed under the name uncultured bacterium. RNAcentral's name for it is "partial 16S ribosomal RNA". It matches the Rfam family "Bacterial small subunit ribosomal RNA", at positions 524 to 777 of the family's 1533-position model. The record is from RNAcentral.